AAAUACUCCAAGUGAUGGACACGGAUGAAUGUGAAAAGGAAAGUGGGUUGAACAAAAAUGAGGGACAAAGGGUUGAGGAAAACCAAAGGAAUAAGGUGAAAGAGCAGGAUAGAGAUGAAAGGGGAGGAGUACAGCCAAGGAGGAGGUCAUGCAUCACAAAAAAGCCUCUGGCUGAUAUCACAAAUGAACAAGGAAAGCCUAGGAUGAGAGGAAAGAGGAAGUUAACAAGUGAUCGUGAG
RNAcentral lists this long non-coding RNA (239 nucleotides) under Coffea arabica (coffee). Its description in RNAcentral is "long non-coding RNA (CARA_LNC000135)". The record is from RNAcentral. Lineage: Eukaryota; Viridiplantae; Streptophyta; Magnoliopsida; Gentianales; Rubiaceae.